Molecule: ribosomal RNA, 258 nt
Filed under: uncultured bacterium
Lineage: Bacteria
Description: partial 16S ribosomal RNA
Rfam family: Bacterial small subunit ribosomal RNA
Source: RNAcentral
UAACAGGGGGUGCGAGCGUUAAUCGGAAUUACUGGGCGUAAAGCGUGCGUAGACGGCUAUCUAAGUCGGGUGUGAAAGCCCGGGCUCAACCCUGGGAAUUGCAUUCGAGACUUGAAUAGCUAGGGUACGGUAGAGGGAAGUGGAAUUUCCGGUGGUAGCGGUGAAAUGCGUAGAUAAUCGGAAGGAACAUCAGUGGCGAAAGCGACUCCUGGACCAGUACCGACGUCAGGCACGAAAGCCGUGGGGGAGCAAACAGGG